UGGAGGCUUUGGUGACAUUCAACAAAGAAUGCUAUGCCUUGGAUUCGUAUGGAGGAUUUGACAUUCAACAAAGUCUGCCGCAGGUACAGUCCAGCAUCCCUUUUACAUGCUCUAACCGCAUAACAAUCGAAGAGGAAAAUUAUACAGAAACGAGGAUAUACAUUUUCCGCAGUCUACUUAUUGAAGUAAUGAUGCUUAUUGAUGCAGGAUUCUUCAAGCACCAUUUUCUGUAUUAUCUAUAUCUCAAAACAAUGUGGAUGUUUCCUUUGAAAAGGACCCGAACAUCCAGUCUUUAGAACUGCAUUAUAAUUCAUGUAAUACGUCCUUAUUGCCAUUUUCUUUUGAUGGAGUUUAUGACAAACAACAUAUCACUUCUACCUUAGUUCCAAAAAAAAAUAACUGCAGUAAGGAAGCCAUCAUCAGAAAACAAAAAAACAUGGAAAGUUAAAGGCUUUACUAGGUAGAAAAUUGGGAUAAAAUAUCUUUAAACAAGAUUUAUUUGACUGAUUGUUAAAGUGUUGCAUUUUUUUUCCUUUUAAUCUUGCAGGUUGAUAGUUGCUGCAACAGAAAUGGAUGUGAAGAGUAUAAUGAAGAUUUACUACCAAUUUUAUCAUAUUAUGCACCUUUUGCAAUUUAUCAUAAAUACCUUCAGGACAUUGAAGCAUUUGGAGCAGGUUAAGGACUUCACUCCAUGUGAGAGCAUCAUCUAAACGUUGAUGGGGAAGAUUCACAAGAACCUAAAUAUUCCUCCUAAGGACAUGUUCUACUUUGGUAUUGCAUUGGACCUUAAGCCUCCUGCAUCUGAUGUUGCUGCUAUCAAGGUGCAGCAAGAGCUCGAUUGGCUUGGCCACAUGCUUCGGCUUUUGGAUAGUCUUCUGGAAAGCAGACUUUCGAAAUACUAUUGAAUAAAGCUCAUUCUUAAAGAAAGCGACGGCUAACCUCUAACGUUGUAUUACUCGUCUCAA
This is a long non-coding RNA of Asparagus officinalis (garden asparagus), 965 nucleotides long. RefSeq lists it as uncharacterized. The record is from RefSeq and is a predicted model, not a curated record. Lineage: Eukaryota; Viridiplantae; Streptophyta; Magnoliopsida; Asparagales; Asparagaceae. The transcript has 3 exons.